This 1183-nucleotide long non-coding RNA is filed under the name Macaca nemestrina (pig-tailed macaque). RNAcentral describes it as "lncRNA (ENSMNEG00000045705.1)". Lineage: Eukaryota; Metazoa; Chordata; Mammalia; Primates; Cercopithecidae. The record is from RNAcentral.
UGACUUGAUGAUGACAUGUUGGAUGCACGGAACCAAACAGCACAUGCGCCUCAUAGAAAUAUCCAGUAUUAUGUAUCAGUGUAAUAUUUUCUAUGAAUAAGAAAGGCAAAAAAAGAAGUUAAGCAUAAACUAGCUAUUUGACCUAGCAGUUCCAGCCCUAGGAAUUUAUCUAGAAGAAAUGAAAACAUGCGUUCAAAAAGAUGUAUACAUAAAUGUUCUCAGGAGCCUCAUUCACUACAGGCAACAACUGGAAACAACCCAAGUGUCCGUCAGCUAGAGAAUGGAUAGACCCAUGUGGUCUGUGCAUACAGUGGAGUGCUGCUCAGUUAUACAAAGAAAAGAAACUAUGGAUACCGGCCACAGGAGGGAUGAACUUCAAAACAUUACAGUAAGUGAAAGAAGUAAAACUCCAUGAGGGAAGUUGGUGAGUAUGGACAUGUUUUUGAACUGGCAGAAUUUUACCGUGUUCAUUGGGGUAUUAGGUAUUGAGUCCCUGUUGACCAGGUACUGUGGUAGGUACGGCAUUUAGAGAAAUAAGAAGCAGACACCAGCUCCACUGUGAUGAGACUCACCCGAUCAGCCAUUUCUGAUGAACACUCAGGUCCCCCUGAGGACAGCCUGAGUUUAAAAUCUCUACCACCAAGUGAGGAAGACAAUGAUGAUGCCCAGAUUUUACCAUCACCUGUGCAGGCUCGUCCUGAGGACGACCUGUUUUUAAGAUGCUCACCGCAACAUAAAGAUGAAGAUGAUAAUGAUGAUGGUGAUGUCCAGGUAAGAUCCCCCUUUUUUGUCUUCUACAGCAGUGUUGCUUUCCUGAUUCUUUACUUCUCAAUUAAUUUUGAUUUGAAAACCUGGCAAUGUACAUUAUGUACACUGUACACUAUUGUCUUUGUGGGGCUGGAAUUCAUAAGUGUGUCUUCCCAACUUCUACAUGGUCCGCUAUGCUGCUUCUAAAUGACAACAUCCAGUAUCAACUGGAAUACUGAGGCAUUUUCCACAAUACCAGUUUUCCUCCUUGGAUUAAGCAUUGUACAUUUGCAUAUAAAAUUAAAUUUAAAGGCAAAUUCUGUGAAUAGAAGUCUUGUUUUUCUAUAGCUAUCUUCUGUGCUAGUCUUUGGGGAUUUUGACCUAUGGCUCAAUCACUGUACUGCCUUCUGGUUUUUUUAUCGUUGUCCAGAGAAUA